RNAcentral lists this ribosomal RNA (526 nucleotides) under Eimeria bovis. RNAcentral's name for it is "SSU rRNA". It matches the Rfam family "Eukaryotic small subunit ribosomal RNA", at positions 159 to 684 of the family's 1831-position model. The record is from RNAcentral. Lineage: Eukaryota; Apicomplexa; Conoidasida; Eucoccidiorida; Eimeriidae.
UAUGGCUAAUACAUGCGCAAAUGCCUCCUUCUCUGGAGGGGCUGUGUUUAUUAGAUACAAAACCAACCCACUUCUGUGGAGUCCUGGUGAUUCAUAGUAACCGAACGGAUCGCAUUUGGCUUCGGCCCGCGAUAGAUCUUUCAAGUUUCUGACCUAUCAGCUUUCGACGGUAGGGUAUUGGCCUACCGUGGCAGUGACGGGUAACGGGGAAUUAGGGUUCGAUUCCGGAGAGGGAGCCUGAGAAACGGCUACCACAUCUAAGGAAGGCAGCAGGCGCGCAAAUUACCCAAUGAAAACAGUUUCGAGGUAGUGACGAGAAAUAACAAUACAGGGCAUUUUAUGCUCUGUAAUUGGAAUGAUGGGAAUGUAAAACCCUUCCAGAGUAACAAUUGGAGGGCAAGUCUGGUGCCAGCAGCCGCGGUAAUUCCAGCUCCAAUAGUGUAUAUUAGAGUUGUUGCAGUUAAAAAGCUCGUAGUUGGAUUUCUGCUGUGGUCAUCCGGUACCGCCCGUAUGGGUGCGCACCUGG